Corylus avellana is the source of this 3510-nucleotide non-coding RNA. The record is from RefSeq and is a predicted model, not a curated record. NCBI's taxonomy places the organism in Eukaryota, Viridiplantae, Streptophyta, Magnoliopsida, Fagales, Betulaceae.
CUGACAUCUUGAAGAUCAUGUCUGCUGUGAGGAUGGAGAACCGCAACUUAGGUGUCAGCUUUGGCCCAAAAGAUGCUUUAUUCCAGGUACAUGAACAAAAUGAUUCUCUAGCUGCAGUGGCCUGUGGGCUUGGUGGAGGUUCACUUGUGAAUGCAGGAGUGAUGCUGCCAACCCCAGUUCGAGCCAGAAGGAAUCCCAAGUGGCCAAAGGAAUGGGAAAAGGAUUGGGAUAAUUGUGAAGCUUCUGCUGCAGCCAUGCUGAGAAUACAAAGUGUUCCUGUCAAGUUUCCUGUUGCCAAAGUCUUGGGAGAAAUAUUAGGUGAUGGACAGAUUGAAAAAAGUUUUGAGACUUCAUUACAGCUAAGCAUGAAUUUUGGUCUUGAAGAGCCUGCAUCAAAUUAAGUGAAGCCUCAAAGAGUUGAUAGCUGCUUAGCCUGUGGAAACUGUCUUGCUGGAUGUCCUUAUAAUGCCAAAAGUUCUACCGACAAAAACUAUAUACUUUCGGCAAUCCAGGCAUGAUGUCAUGUUAUAACAGAAUGUGAAGUUCAGUAUGUUGUUAAGAACCCAUAUGAAAUUUGCCGAGAAGAAGGCAUAAUUGGCAGAAAGAGAAGAAGAUGGCAUGUUUACUUGAAUGAGAUUGACUUUAUUACUGCUGAUUAUGUAGACAUCUCAGGGGGGGUUUUGGGCACAACUGAGAUACUUUUCCGAUCACAAAUGGGAGGAUUGAAACUUUCAGAUGCACUUGGGUCUGGAUUCAGCUGUAAUGGGAAUACUGUGGCUUAUCUUGCUGGAAGCCAAGCACCCUUGAGUGCUUACGGAUUGAAGGGAAAGCAACUCUCAAAGAUACCAUUUGAAGAAAGGCCAGGGCCAUCCAUUUCUUCAUCUUAUAUAUCUUCGUUGGGAUUCACAAUCCAGAGUGCUGUACUUCCAACAGCUUACCCCUACCUGCUGUUUAAAGGGAUCACGACUUACGGUUGGCCAACUGGAUCCUGGUUCUUUCAUGGGAUAAUUGACAAGAUAAAACACAUAACAGGUUUUAAAGCAAGCCAAGCAAUGAUUCUUAAUGCAAUGGGAUAUGAUGACAGUGACGGGAAAAUUACAUUUGAUAAGGACAGGAAUAGAAUCUGCUUUAGUCCACCUCACGAUCCUUUACUCCCUAGGAAAAUCAAUGCCUUUCAGAAGCUCACUAGGAAAUUAGGAGGAAUACUCUUCAUGUCAAGGUAUCGAAGCACAUCAGUACAUCUUUUAGGUGGUUGCAAUGCAUCAUCUGACCGUCCAUGUGGUGUUUGUAACCCGAGUGGUCAGGUUUUUGACCCAGAAGGUCCCACCAGUACUGUACACACCGGCCUCUAUGUCUGUGACGCUUCUUUAAUCCCAUGUUCUGUUGGCAUAAACCCAUCUCUUACUAUUGCAACUGUGGCCGAGUCCGUAAGUAGGCACCUUGUGAGGGAUGUUCUCAAGUACAAGAGCAGUAUUGAAAUUCCUGUUAAAAAUGUACAUCAAGAUCCACAUUAUAUCACUGACAAGAAUAUAAAGAGUGAUUGGAGAUCAACGGUCACUUUUAAUGAAACCAUGGAGGGAUAUGUAGGGGGUAUGCCAUGCACAGCUUAUCUGAAAGUGAAGAUGAACUCUCAAGAUCAUAAGGGGAAAUGGGGUGUCAGAGAAUGUCAUCCUCUUUUAAGAGGAAAAGUUGGUGGAUAUGUGGAAUUUAGAGCCUUUGAGAAGGAUAAAUUACAUAUUAUAGAUGGGAAAAUAAAUUUGUGUAAAGUAGAAUGCAGAACUCCUUACACACAGUAUAUGCAUUAUCAUCUUCUCCUUGCAGCUUCCUCUGGUUCAAGAUAUAUUCUUGAGGGAAGGAAGAUAAUGAAUCCUUAUCUCUUUGGAUUAUAUGCUUGGAGGGAGACAACAACACUGCAUGUGACAUUUAAAAAAGUUGUUGAGAACAAUUCAAGGGAAGACAUGGUGAAUCAAAAAGGCAAGCUUUGUAUCUCCAUGGUACAGCUUUUGAAGAGCAUCUUAAGCCUUGAAGGAAACGAGAGAGGGAGGUUCAUACGUCAUCUAUUACACACUCUCCUAAGAACCUAUUUUUUACAGAUACCACGACAGAGUCACAAGGACUUCAUCUUAUCGGAUUCGUAUGUUAAACCUUAUGGUCCUCAUCCAAGCAGCACCCUCCAUGAAAUACAAUCAGAAGAUGGAUCUUUUAUCAGUUGCAGGCAAUGGAAGUGCACCCAAAAUCCAUCGAGACUUGAAGGACCAAAACAACUAAAUCCAGUUCUCCUUCUUAAUGGUCAUUCUACUGAGAGUUACUGUUGCCAACAGAACCAAAUGAUUUAGUCAGAACUUUACUGGAAGAAGGCCAUGAAACAUGGCUACUGCAACCAAGGUUGCACCCUUUGAAUCCUUCAAAGGACUUCACAAUUGAAGAUAUUGGAAGAUUUGAUGUCCCAGCUGCAAUAAAUAAGAUCCUUGAAUUACAUGGGCAGCAUACAGUAAUACAUGUAGUUGCACAUUGUGUUGGAGGCUUAGCCAUGCAUAUAGCUCUCAUGGGGGGGCAUGUAUCUGCAACCCAUAUAGCUUCCCUGUCUUGCACCAAUUCUUCAAUGUUCUUUAAGCUUAACGCUUCAUCAAUGUUCAAAAUGUGGCGUCCUCUGCUCCCACUUUCCAUGGUUAUACUAGGCCAAGAACAAAAUCCUGCCUCUGUUGGAAACAUCAAAGUGCAGUUUCCGUCAUCGGCUCUUGAAAUUUAUUGCCCGCUUGAUACCACGGCAUGAGAGAUGCACCUGCAACGAGUGUGAGGUUUUUGCUGGUAUAUUUGGAAGCACAUUCUGGCAUGGAAACGUAAGCCCCAGCAUGCACUACUGGUUAAAUAAAGAGAAUUUGACAAGGCUUCCCAUGGCAGCAUUUCCCCACCUCAGAAAAAUAUGCAAAGCAGGUUUCAUUGUAGACAGCAAUGGCAACGACAAAUAUUUGAUCCAUUAUGAGAGAAUGGCGCUCUCUACUCUUUAUAUUUCAGGAGGGCGGAGUCUCCUUGUGACCCCAAAGACUUCAUUACUUGCUAACAAGUACAUGAAGUUACACAGCCUGGCUUUAGACAUGAGAGAGUUGUUGUGGAGGGUUUUGGGCAUUCUGACCUUUUGAUUGGAGAAGAGUCUGAUAAGAAGGUUUUUCCUCACAUUUUGUCUCAUAUCAGAUCAGCUGAAGGAGGAAAUGGUGCAAUCAGAGCUCCGGGAAGGAAGUACACUAAAGAGGCAGCCUUGGAGUGGGAAGAUGAUACAUACGAAGAAUAUGGAGGGUUUGACAGUUGGUUUUCUCCUUUAGUUGUUGUUUUGAUGUUUUUCUUCUUGUUUCUGAUCAUGUUAGUUUCAUAAUACUUGUAACUUGUGGCAAUGGUUUGUGAAGUGGGAAACAAUCCUUGACCAUGUAGUCGAAUGAUGUAAUAAUUCUUUAGACUUCUCUGAAAACUAUAUGCUUCUCACAUACUCAAAGUACAUAUGAUAAUAUAUAUCGA